AGGUGGAGCAAAUCCCGAAAAGCGAUCUCAGUUCGGAUUGCAGGCUGCAACUCGCCUGUAUGAAGUUGGAAUCGCUAGUAAUCGCGGAUCAGCAUGCCGCGGUGAAUACGUUCCCGGGUCUUGUACACACCGCCCGUCACACCAUGGGAGUCGGAAAUGCCCGAAGUCUGUGACCCAACCUACGGGAGGGAGCAGCCGAAGGCAGGUCGGAUGACUGGGGUGAAGUCGUAACAAGGUACC
Molecule: ribosomal RNA, 240 nt
Filed under: uncultured bacterium
Lineage: Bacteria
Description: partial 16S ribosomal RNA
Rfam family: Bacterial small subunit ribosomal RNA
Source: RNAcentral